Molecule: transfer RNA, 67 nt
Filed under: Marmota monax (woodchuck)
Lineage: Eukaryota; Metazoa; Chordata; Mammalia; Rodentia; Sciuridae
Description: tRNA.Ala
Source: RNAcentral
GGAUAUGGCUCAGGGGUAGAGUGCUUGCUUAGCAAGGGUGAGGUCCUGGGUUCAAUCCCCAGUACCA